UGGUGAUCACUCUGCAGGCGGGCCGGGUCAUAAAUCAGCAGCCUCUAACGGCCACUCAUCCCGUUGAGGAUUCAGAUCUGACAUUUCACUUUUAAUCAGGUGUGCUGUGGUUUAAACUCUCAUCUGCGGCUUCAAAUGUGUUUGACAUUUUUGGGAAGAAGUGACAAAGCUUUAAAAAAAUGGAAACGCAGGCCAAGAAUGAGCGGCAUCUGUUUGUUACACAAACAUUAUCUGAGUGUUCAGCCCUUCCACUAUCAAAGAUAUUUGGCGUCUGGAGGUCGACCACCUGCUCUCCGUCUGACACGCCGCCAUUUCCAGGCUUCCAGCACCGAGACAUCCAUCUCUAGUGCUUGGCAGAUGGUUCAGACUGAGAGGUUUUGCCCUCACCGUGGCUUUAGGAGACGUCUUUAUCUGGCCUGGAAGCUUUACCCGGCCAUCUGCUCACAAAGGGUCUGCACGGAUUGGGGAGGGGGCAGGCGAACUUAUAUGUGCAAACACAUACAGCAACGGCGUUGACACGAGGCUGAUUGCUCAGGCUGGUGGCACUUUUUUGGAUCCACGCAUGUUGAAGAGUUUGGAUCAGGCAAAGAGAUGGUAACAGGAGUCCAUAUGGUGGGGGCCUGACAGGUGCAUCUGCCUCUGAGCUGCAGGGCAGUAGAUACUGAGCAGCGCUUUGUUUCCACAAAACAUCUGCCUCUUGGCCUGAAGCCCUGUGAAACCCAACUAAACCCCAGUGUGGUUUCAAAAGUCAGCCAUUCAUCAAGAUUCUCACAAAAGUCACCUUUUUAUGUUGACAGCAGCUCAGGAGAAGCAGAGUUCAUGGCGAUACACAUGCAGGCCUGCGUAUUAUUAAAGUAUUAUUAUA
Oreochromis aureus is the source of this 865-nucleotide long non-coding RNA. RefSeq lists it as uncharacterized. The record is from RefSeq and is a predicted model, not a curated record. The transcript has 3 exons. NCBI's taxonomy places the organism in Eukaryota, Metazoa, Chordata, Actinopteri, Cichliformes, Cichlidae.